This is a non-coding RNA of Acanthosepion pharaonis, 94 nucleotides long. The record is from the annotation of a GenBank genome assembly. Lineage: Eukaryota; Metazoa; Mollusca; Cephalopoda; Sepiida; Sepiidae.
CGUUGAAACACCGCUUCCAGUAAGAUCCCCGUGGUGAAGCAACGCCAAGCCUGUUCAGUACCAAGAUGGGUGAGCGCUUGGGAAUAUCAGGCGC